ACGCUCGACACCUACGGGGGCAGCAGUCGGGAAUAUUGCGCAAUGGAGGGAACUCUGACGCAGUGACGCCGCGUAUAGGAAGAAGGUUUUCGGAUUGUAAACUAUUGUCGUUAGGGAAGAGAAAGGACAGUACCUAAGGAGGAAGCUCCGGCUAACUACGUGCAAGCAGCCGCGGUAAUCUGAGGCGGGCUGGCAAGGC
This 199-nucleotide ribosomal RNA is filed under the name uncultured bacterium. Its description in RNAcentral is "partial 16S ribosomal RNA". It matches the Rfam family "Bacterial small subunit ribosomal RNA", at positions 328 to 539 of the family's 1533-position model. The record is from RNAcentral.